CCGAUCCCCUCCCGUGCACGCCGCGAUGCCCGUCGCCACGUCCCGGACGGUGCACAACGUGAUCUCUCCUGCCGUUGUGCCCAGAGAGUGUCGCGUCAUUUAGUCGGGUCUUCCAUCGAUGACCGCGCGAGCUUAGGAGAAAAAUGGAACCCCCGAGAGGUGUGGAUGCUGACCCAACCCUGUAACCCUCUGAAAAACCCCUAAUCACCAGAAUUGUCGCUGAAGUUAAGCUAUGCGGCUCCCCUCUCGACCCUCUAUAAAUAGAGAACCCCCUUGUUUCCGAGCACCUCAGCCACUCUAGCGCCUCCCCUCAUCCUCCAGGAGACUCGCCAAAGCCUUCAGAGGGGCUCAGAAGGAUAUUCUACCCUGCCUUCGGCCGCCUCGAUUCAUUUCGGGCGCGGCCAAAAUUGGCCCUGGCCUCUCCGUCGAGAUCCCACUGCAACCGAAACGACGCCCGCCGGAGUUUGAAGCUGCCCUGAUUGUACUGCUCGCCGGCGUGUAACUCCACCUCCAUCAGUUGUAGAAUCUCCUGAUUCCGACGAGGGAGACGUCGACGUCAACUUCACCGAACUCGAUCCCGACUACGUGGAACCAUGCAAGCAUGUUUGAACUUUUGAUGUGUGUUUGCUAAUAAAAUUUUUAAUUAUCAUAUCCUGCAUGAACUAACCCAUUGCUAUCACGCGGGACGUGAUAGGUUGUGGCCUCGUCAUGCCGGAUGCAUGAUCGUGGUGAAAAUAAUUGGAUAACUCUAGUGCCGACCUAGAUCGAGUCUUGUCAGUAUGUCACCUUAUUUUUCAUGCUUCCACAGUUUUUCCGAAAGGGAAUGCGAUAUAGUCGGUCGUGAACCUAUUAUCAGUCACACACCAAGUAGAGGGGACGGGAUGAAGGUAUCCAUGGCCCUGGACUAAAUCUAGUCAUCC
Long non-coding RNA from Hordeum vulgare subsp. vulgare (domesticated barley), 920 nucleotides. RefSeq lists it as uncharacterized. NCBI's taxonomy places the organism in Eukaryota, Viridiplantae, Streptophyta, Magnoliopsida, Poales, Poaceae. The transcript has 3 exons. The record is from RefSeq and is a predicted model, not a curated record.